Molecule: non-coding RNA, 112 nt
Organism: Acanthosepion pharaonis
Lineage: Eukaryota; Metazoa; Mollusca; Cephalopoda; Sepiida; Sepiidae
Source: the annotation of a GenBank genome assembly
ACGGCCACAUCACGUCGAAACACUAGUUCUCGUACAAUCAAUGAAGUUAAGCAAUGUCGAGCCUGGUUAGUACCUAGAUGAGUGACUGCUUGGGAAUACCAGGUGCUGUAAG